Molecule: unclassified non-coding RNA, 342 nt
Filed under: uncultured Glomeromycotina
Lineage: Eukaryota; Fungi; Glomeromycota
Description: sequence contains ITS1
Rfam family: 5.8S ribosomal RNA (bases 1-106)
Source: RNAcentral
UGAAGUGCGAUAUGUAGUGUGAAUUGCAGAAUUCCGUGAAUCAUCGAAUCUUUGAACGCAUAUUGCACUCUCUGGUAUUCCGGAGAGUAUGCCUAUUUGAGGGUCAUGUGAAACAUACAUUCUAGAUUUCUUAGAACAAAAUGGGUUAUCCAGAUUUUUCAUGGUUACCUAAAAUACAAGACAUGCUCAUUUUUUUGGGUUACGUGAUACUUGUUAUUCGUGACAUUCCGAGAAAUAUGUGGCGUGUUGUAAUUUUGCAAAAACGGAUGGGAAUUCGUCUCUGCGAAAUAGAAACAAUUGAAUCUUGACCUCAAAUUAGGUAGGAGUACCCGCUGAACUUAA